CCUACGGGAGUCUGCAGUGAGGAAUAUUGGUCAAUGGCCGGAAGGCUGACCCAGCCCUGCCGCGUGCAGGUCAGUGCCCUAUGGGCGUUAAACUUCUUUUGUGCGGGAGCAAUAAUUGUCACGUGUGGCCAGACGAGAGUACCGUACGAAUACGCAUCGGCUAACUCCGUGCCAGCAGCCGCGGUAAUACGGGGGAGGCAAGCGUUAUCCGGAUUUAUUGGGUUUAAAGGGUGCGUAGGCUGGGAGGUAAGUCAGCGGUGAAAUGCCCCCGCUCAACGGGGUGAAGUGCCAUUGAUACUGCCUUGCGGGAAUGCGGAUGCCGUGGGAGGAAUGUGUGGUGUAGCGGUGAAAUGCAUAGACAGCACACAGAACACCGAUUGCGAAGGCAUCUCACGAAUCCGCGAUUGACGCUGAUGCACGAAAGCGUGGGUAUCAAACAGGAUUAGAUACCCCUGGAGUC
This 460-nucleotide ribosomal RNA is filed under the name uncultured bacterium. RNAcentral describes it as "partial 16S ribosomal RNA". It matches the Rfam family "Bacterial small subunit ribosomal RNA", at positions 338 to 795 of the family's 1533-position model. The record is from RNAcentral.